RNAcentral lists this ribosomal RNA (217 nucleotides) under uncultured bacterium. RNAcentral's name for it is "partial 16S ribosomal RNA". It matches the Rfam family "Bacterial small subunit ribosomal RNA", at positions 326 to 539 of the family's 1533-position model. The record is from RNAcentral.
ACGCUCGACACCUACGGUAGGCAGCAGUGAGGAAUAUUGGUCAAUGGGCGCUAGCCUGAACCAGCCAAGUAGCGUGAAGGAUGAAGGCUCUAUGGGUCGUAAACUUCUUUUAUAUAAGAAUAAAGUGCAGUAUGUAUACUGUUUUGUAUGUAUUAUAUGAAUAAGGAUCGGCUAACUCCGUGCCAGCAGCCCGGUAAUCUGAGCGGGCUGGCAAGGC